Pseudonaja textilis is the source of this 610-nucleotide non-coding RNA. NCBI's taxonomy places the organism in Eukaryota, Metazoa, Chordata, Lepidosauria, Squamata, Elapidae. The record is from RefSeq and is a predicted model, not a curated record.
GGGGGGGAGCGGGAGAGACGCGGAAAAGGUCAAACUGAAGGCGAGCCGGGGAAGCGGCGGCUGCAGCGGCGGGAGCGGCGCCCCUUCCCGGCAGGCAUCUUCCAAAUCCGACUCCGGGCUGGUCACAAUAUAACACCAUAAAAAACCAAUACAGACCAAUACCAGAGGGGCUCCGGUCACCAUAUGGAGAGAAAUUGCAAGAUUCAGAUGGACCUCACCUGCACUCCAAAGAAAUUGUAGUUUGUUGUUGUAAACAUCCCCGACUGGAAGCUGGAAAAUGUAGCUUUCAGUCCGAUGUUUGCUGCCGCCGGCUACUCAUAAACAACACUGGAAAGAGAAAGAUCCAUCAUCAAGAGGCUUUGUUUUUAAAGCUGGCAGGGGCUCUUCAGCAUUUCUGCUUCUUAAAACUACAAUUUUGGACAGCUUGAGAAAUAUUCACCCACACGCAUUCAUACAUUCAUUUAAGUGUCUUGGCAUUCCGUUGAGAACUGAAUGGUUAAGGAUGAUGAGACAUAAAAGAAGAAACAUUUCAAGGUGCCUCUCUGGCAUCUGAAACCCACACUCUAUGCUCUUGAAUGUUGGGGUGUGUCCUAUGUUUUCCUCCCAUUUG